UAGGUCCAAUAGCCUCUUCAUUCUAGAAA
RNAcentral lists this small RNA (29 nucleotides) under Bombyx mori (domestic silkworm). RNAcentral describes it as "ovarian small RNA-22767". The record is from RNAcentral. Lineage: Eukaryota; Metazoa; Arthropoda; Insecta; Lepidoptera; Bombycidae.